CUGCCGAACCUGAGUUCUUUCAGAACUCAGCCUCGCACACAAGAAGCCUCCCAAGCCUUCCAAACCUCUCCAAACAUGCACAACAAGCAACCAACCUCUCAAACACAUGCAUAUACCCUUAUUCAUGCAUAUAGGGGCUUAGAACUAGCUCAAACCCCCAAAAACAACACAAAUACACACAUAUGGCUUAUGAUCAACAUAAACCCUAACCAUCAUGAUCCACUCUAAAACAUGCAUAAAACUCCCUUAAAACCCUCAAAACAUACUUAAAACAUAAGGAGAGGUGAGGAUCCAUGCUUACCUCUUGAAGAUCGAGAGGAUUGAUGGUCCAAACUCGGUGAUGUCAAGAAAACUAGAUCCGAAGUCUCCAAGCCUCAAACCUUUGCUCUUUAACUCAAAAUCUUCAAAACCAAACUAAAAACUCAUGAAAACAUGAGGGAUUUAACGAAAAAGCAUAAAAACAACCAAAGGAGAGCAUGAACUCACCUAUGCCCGAAAAGAGAGAGAAAACUCACCUCCAUUCCGGACAAAGGCCCCUUUUAUAGGUGGCCGGUCAACCACCUUCGGCGGCCAAAACUGUCUCCACAGCUCCACCAC
This 597-nucleotide long non-coding RNA is filed under the name Manihot esculenta (cassava). RNAcentral's name for it is "long non-coding RNA (MESC_LNC004972)". Lineage: Eukaryota; Viridiplantae; Streptophyta; Magnoliopsida; Malpighiales; Euphorbiaceae. The record is from RNAcentral.